AUUGAACGCUGGCGGCAGGCCUAACACAUGCAAGUCGAGCGGAGCGGCGGACGGGCGAGUAAUGCCUGGGAAUCUACCUGGUAGUGGGGGAUAACUUCCGGAAACGCGCGCUAAUCCCGCAUACUAUCAGAUGAAUUUAGGUCGGAUUGGCUAGAUGGUGGGGUAAAGGCCUACCAAGGCGACGAACCGUAACUGGUCUGAGAGGAUGAUCAGUCACACUGAAACUGAGACACGGACCAUACUCGUUCGGUCGGCAGCAGUGGGGAAUAUUGGACAAUGGGCGCAAGCCUGAUCCAGGCAUGCCGCGUGUGUGAAGAAGGUCGUCGGAUUGGAAAGCACUUUGAGUUGGGAGGCGUUACCCACAGAAUAAGCACCGGCUAACGCCGUGCCAGCAGCCGCGGUAAUAC
RNAcentral lists this ribosomal RNA (407 nucleotides) under uncultured bacterium. RNAcentral's name for it is "partial 16S ribosomal RNA". It matches the Rfam family "Bacterial small subunit ribosomal RNA", at positions 30 to 526 of the family's 1533-position model. The record is from RNAcentral.